GGGUUGUGAGGUUAAGCGACUAAGCGUACACGGUGGAUGCCCUGGCAGUCAGAGGCGAUGAAGGGCGUGCUAAUCUGCGAUAAGCGCCGGUAAGGUGAUAUGAACCGUUAUAACCGGCGAUACCCGAAUGGGGAAACCCAGUGUGAUUCGUCACACUAUCAUUAACUGAAUUCAUAGGUUAAUGAGGCGAACCGGGGGAACUGAAACAUCUAAGUACCCCGAGGAAAAGAAAUCAACCGAGAUUCCCCCAGUAGCGGCGAGCGAACGGGGAGGAGCCCAGAGCCUGAAUCAGCAUGUGUGUUAGUGGAAGCGUCUGGAAAGGCGCGCGAUACAGGGUGACAGCCCCGUACACAAAAGCGCAUGUGCUGUGAGCUCGAUGAGUAGGGCGGGACACGUGGUAUCCUGUCUGAAUAUGGGGGGACCAUCCUCCAAGGCUAAAUACUCCUGACUGACCGAUAGUGAACCA
This 466-nucleotide ribosomal RNA is filed under the name Salmonella enterica subsp. enterica serovar Paratyphi B. RNAcentral describes it as "bacterial LSU rRNA". It matches the Rfam family "Bacterial large subunit ribosomal RNA", at positions 1 to 497 of the family's 2925-position model. The record is from RNAcentral. Lineage: Bacteria; Pseudomonadati; Pseudomonadota; Gammaproteobacteria; Enterobacterales; Enterobacteriaceae.